GACGAACGCUGGCGGCGUGCUUAACACAUGCAAGUCGAACGGAAAGGCCCUGCUUUUGUGGGGUGCUCGAUUGGCGAACGGGUGAGUAACACGUGAGUAACCUGCCCUUGACUUUGGGAUAACUUCAGGAAACUGGGGCUCAUACCGGAUAGGAGCUCCUGCUGCAUGGUGGGGGUUGGAAAGUUUCGGCGGUUGGGGAUGGACUCGCGGCUUAUCAGCUUGUUGGUGGGGUAGUGGCUUACCAAGGCUUUGACGGGUAGCCGGCCUUGGAGGGUGAACGGGCACAUGGGGACUGAGAGAGGGAGCAGUAGCGAAUGGGCCGCAGUGGGCGAGAGUAUUGCACAACGAGCGGAAGCGUGAUGCGGAAACGCUGCGUGCGUGAUACCGGGCUACGGGUUGUAAACAGCUUUGGCAGGUGCCGAAGAGUGAGUGACGGUAACGGGUAAAGAAGCAACGGCUAACUACGUG
RNAcentral lists this ribosomal RNA (468 nucleotides) under uncultured bacterium. RNAcentral's name for it is "partial 16S ribosomal RNA". It matches the Rfam family "Bacterial small subunit ribosomal RNA", at positions 28 to 507 of the family's 1533-position model. The record is from RNAcentral.